AGGAAGAGGAGGAGGAAGAGAAGAAUGAGACAAAAGCAGAGGAGGUGGUGGUAAAGGAGGAAGAGAAGGAAGAGAAGGAGAAGGAGGAGAAGGAGUUGAAAGAGGAGGAGGAGAAAAAGGAGGGCGACGCUGAACAUGCUGAUACUGAAGAACCUGAUGAAGCAGACGAUCUGGAACACACUGAAGCAACACCUGCUGAUAAAACGGACCAGUCAGAUGAUGCCGCUCCCACCACCACAGAGGUUAUGAGUUAGAUGCUCCCCUUCUGAGCCGUGGGCGCUCACCGGCUGGAGAGCCACGCCCACAGCCUCCACAGUGGAAACUGCUGCCAUGACUUCAACAAGUUAACUGCAUGAAUUUCAACCUUCAGCCAACUGUUUGUUUCCUCUCCCCUUUUUUUCUGGUGGUGUCCGUUUUAAACUCUGGCUGCUUUAGUUUUCCUCAGAUAAAAAGAAAUGUCUUCCACCUGCUGACUGUCUUCCUUUCUGCCAUGUGUCCUUUAACCUGUCUCACUUUCUGCCUUCCCGUCUGCAGAAACAUUAAACCAGCUGCUGAGCUCAGAUCUGUUUUGUGUGUCUGAUUUCACACAUUAACAUGUACAUACAGUCCAUCGUUUAAUUUACAGAUAAUGUUUUUAAAGGAGGUGAGGGACC
Molecule: long non-coding RNA, 653 nt
Organism: Archocentrus centrarchus (flier cichlid)
Lineage: Eukaryota; Metazoa; Chordata; Actinopteri; Cichliformes; Cichlidae
Exons: 4
Source: RefSeq, a predicted model, not a curated record